GACGAACGCUGGUGGCGUGCCUAAUACAUGCAAGUCGAGCGGACCAAUAGAAGCUUGCUUCUGUUGGUUAGCGGCGGACGGGUGAGUAACACGUGGGCAACCUGCCUGUAAGACUGGGAUAACUUCGGGAAACCGGAGCUAAUACCGGAUAAUUCAUCCCCUCGCAUGAGGGGAUGCUGAAAGUCGGUUUACGCUGACACUUACAGAUGGGCCCGCGGCGCAUUAGCUAGUUGGUGAGGUAAUGGCUCACCAAGGCGACGAUGCGUAGCCGACCUGAGAGGGUGAUCGGCCAAACUGGGACGGAGACCCGGCCCAGACUCCUACGGGAGGCAGCAGUAGGGAAUCUUCCACAAUGGACGAAAGUCUGAUGGAGCAACGCCGCGUGAGCGAUGAAGGCCUUCGGGUCGUAAAGCUCUGUUGUUAGGGAAGAACAAGUAUCGGAGUAACUGCCGGUACCUUGACGGUACCUAACCAGAAAGCCACGGCUAACUACGUGCCAGCAGCCGCCGUAA
RNAcentral lists this ribosomal RNA (512 nucleotides) under uncultured bacterium. RNAcentral's name for it is "partial 16S ribosomal RNA". It matches the Rfam family "Bacterial small subunit ribosomal RNA", at positions 28 to 523 of the family's 1533-position model. The record is from RNAcentral.